This is a long non-coding RNA of Amphimedon queenslandica, 214 nucleotides long. RefSeq lists it as uncharacterized. The record is from RefSeq and is a predicted model, not a curated record. Lineage: Eukaryota; Metazoa; Porifera; Demospongiae; Haplosclerida; Niphatidae. The transcript has 3 exons.
GUCCCGCCCAUUGUCCUAAUGUAUCAUUUUACUAUCUCCUUCUCAUCCUUCUCUUCCUAUCUCCUUCAAUAUCAGCUCAAGAAUUAUCUGAUAAACUGCUCCACUAUGAGUUGAUUCAUAAAAAUGAUUUCCGUCACAAUGCCAUACCAGAGAAGCAAGAGGCUCCAACCGAUGCUGUCAAACUAGUCCAACAGGUUCACUUCUACGCACUGAA